Long non-coding RNA from Trichechus manatus latirostris (Florida manatee), 7018 nucleotides. RefSeq lists it as uncharacterized. NCBI's taxonomy places the organism in Eukaryota, Metazoa, Chordata, Mammalia, Sirenia, Trichechidae. The transcript is spliced from 2 exons. The record is from RefSeq and is a predicted model, not a curated record.
GCUGUUCUUGGCGUGGGGUGUGCUUUCAAUACAUGACUGUUUACCUUAGCCAUACUCAAGUCCAUUCCAAUUUUCUUGACUUGUAAGGAAGUAAGUAAGAGUGUCUUUUGUCUAUUGCUUAAGUUCUGGGGAAGGGAGCAAGAACAAGAGGCUCUGGGGGUUAAUGGAAGGGUUAGAGAACAGAUGGAAUGGGAAGGAAAAGGAGGCCCUUUAAAAAACUAGUUUUCAAAAGACCGCAGUUACUGCUUCUGGCUCAUUUUUCCAGCCUUCCCUUUGGGAGGGUUUCUUUUACAAAGGCCCUGAUUCCCCUUAAACUCUGACAGAAUGUGCUCCUUCUGGGUGGUGGGGUGGGAAUGUCAACGUGGGCUGGUGACAAUGCAGCUGGUAGUGAAGUUACAAUAAUAAGAGCAGAAUGUAUGCGGGCUUAACCGCCCCUGAUCUUGCUGAGGAGCAAACAUUUGCUCCUCGAGGUGAGGUAGCACAGUGCCUCUGCCACUCGUUAGACGGAGAGCCUGGCAGACAUGUACCAAACUCAAAACAGGUCUCACUCCAUUUCAUUUCAGUUCAUUUGAAGUUAAUAAAAAAGACUGGUCAGGGUGCACAGGCUUGCAUCUGAGUGAACACAUACACCACAUUUUGAAAAAAAUAUGCUAGGCCUAAGCUCUCCCUUGUGCUCAAGGAUGUGAUUUUAAGGUCAAAUAUAUUGGUGAAAAUUCCACGCACAUUACGAUCCUGAUUGUUGUUUCAAUGUUUCAGUUCCAAGAGAGAGCUAGAAGCAGCACAGGGCAGAAGAGACAGAGACAGCUCAAAUCAAAUGCCAAAACUUUAGGCAAAAGAAGACAAUUUAUCAGGAUCAGAGUGCUGGCAAGUUUACUUUCUUUACUGUUCUCUUCACUUUUCCUUGGUCUACAGUCAUUUGGGGGUUGGUUCUUCCAAACAUAAAAUUGAACUCUUUAUUCUAAGGAAUUGGCUUUAAAAAUGGGGGUUGGGGGGAAUAAGUGGCAGUAAGUGAAAAACUUUGUGGGAUAUAUUUUGAGAAGAUACUUAAAAAGAAGGCAUUUGACCUGCCAUAAAAGUAAGGGGAAAAUUUUCUAUCUGCCAAGCAUAACUUGAUGAGGUUAACAUAGAAAAUACUGAGAUGGAAAAAUGAGAUUGCAGUUGAGUGAGGUCUGUAGUGUGCUGUGGUAAACCUCUCAGCAAGCAGCAAUAAGUGAAUGAGGCUUGAGGAAGGACAUAGAGCCCUGGUUUUAUUGUGUUUGUGGCUCUUUUAUAGUUUAAUUAAUUGAUAUGUAAGUGUGGGGGAAGGGUGGCUGUUAAAGGCAAGGUGGCAGGACUACCGCAUAAUAUGCUGGGUUCUGUUGCAAAUGAAAAUAUGAAGCCCUUGUUCAAAAAAUACAAAUUUCAAGACAGCAACAGCAAAGCAUUGAAUCAGUACUGAAUCACAAGUGAUUAAGACUUAGGGCCUUUCUGAGUCUGGGGCUCAAGCAACUGCACCCGUGAAGUCAGCCUUGCUAGGUGGUCAUGUCCCUUCCCCACAUACACUGUAUACUUACUAUUAGCUCUGUCUCCCAGGAAUUUUGUGAAAGUUAGUUGACAGAGAAUGACAAAUACUUGAAAGAGACUCAAGGAAAGCUAAGACAUCUCUCUGUCUCUCUCUCUUUCUCUCUCUCACACGUACCAAGGUGUUUUCUAAUACACAUAAUUCUCUAAAUUAGUAAAAUAAAGAUUUUGGUCGGAAUCGAGGGAAAACUAAAUGUCUUGUGACCAUCUGAAAUUAUUACGUUGUCCACUGUAAAGUUAUUAAUGUAACAUUGCUGAAAAACCUCCCAGCUCUAAAAUUCUGUGAUUCCAGUAUCCAUAAUCAAAAGAAUAACUCAUAUAUGGGUGUUAGGGAGAUCUCUUAAAGGACCCCUGGUUGUGCAUUGAUUAAGCACUCAGCUGCUAACCAAAAGGUUGAAGGUUUGAACACACUAGGCACUCCUCCGGAGAAAGACGUGGCAGUCUGCUCCCAUAAAGAUUAGGGCCUAGGAAACCCUAUGAGGAAGUUCUACUGUGUCCUGUAGGGUCACUGUGAGUCGGAAUUGACUUAAAGGCACACAACAGAGAGAUAUUUAAAAUACUAGUAUCAGAUAAAGUUUUUCAACUUAAAGUUAUGGCUUGCAUAUUCGUAACUUGGAAAAUGAAGGCAAAGUGAGUUAGCUUUAUAAGCAAUUUUUAGAACUAAUAGAGAUUUCUUAAAAUUGAGUAAAAGAAAAUGAAAGAAAUGUUAGCGUUUAUUUUUUUCAACUUGUCUUCUUAUAGCCUGGGUUCAAUUCAACAAGUAUAUAAAAUCUAAGUUCUCAAUCAUUCAAGGCAUGGCUUAAUUUUUGUUGUCAGUAGUAUGAAGAGUUUUCAGGACGGUGAUCAAACAAGAGUUCAUGAACUGAUAUCAAAGUGGGAGAGACUUUAGCUGGUUGUUUAGAAGCACGUAGCCCACAAAACAAUAAAAUACCAUGAUGAGGUUACAGGCAACUUAUAGAAUCUUCAUUCUGUAAGAUUUCAAUAUUCGCUUAUCUAAAGGGGUGGCCAACAUCUUUUCUUACGUAUCUUUCAGAGCUAUGAUUUCAACUGAAGGUCUUACAAGGAUAUAAAAAGAUAUUGUAAUGUGUGCAUGUCAUUUUAGACCCACUUAUAUAAAUAGUAUAUUUUAAGAAGUGAUUAUGUUUAUACAAAAUGAUAUUUUGUUAAUACUACUAUUACUGUAAAAGCUAGAAAUGCUACUUUAAGUUUACAGCAUCUGGUCUGUCUUUGGCUGCUCUUUGAAGACUAUCUCAAAAGCAGUUCACUAGGAUUACCCCCACUGCCUUUGGUAGAAUGGCUUCAUUCAUUCGUUCUAGUUAAUUUUCUAACUAGACAAGUCUUUUUUAACUUCAGUGUCUUACCUUGUCUUAGAUUAAAAUGGUUCCUUAGAAACGAAAUGAGCUCAUGAGAUUUCUCACUAAGAAUCACUAGAUCACGCUUCUACCCAGGAGGAAUAAGACUUCCAAAUGCUUACACUUUUUUUCUGUUCUUUAUUUACAAAAUAAAUAAAUCUCUUUUUCUGACAACAAAAGGAAUGUGCUCAUUGUAAGAAAUUUGCACAUUAUAGAAAGAAAUAGGUCAUAUAGAAAAGGGAAAUUCUCUAUAAUCCCACUUCCUUGAGGUAAUAAUGGUGAAGUUUGGUGAAACAUUUAAAUUUUACGUGUUUAUAUCAAUAAAGCAAUAAGAUACAGAACUCUGGAGUACUGAGUUCAGAAUCGAUAUUUCUGCUGAUUGAAUACCUUACAUGACAACUUCUUUGAUGACCACCGGUCUUUUAAAGCUGGAGACCUGAUUUUAUACGGUUAACCCUGCUCACCAAGGGCUUUUUCAACCCUCUGCAUAGGCAUCUGUCUUGGAAUUUGUCCUUUUAUCACUUCUCUGUGACUUCCUAAUAUUAACCAUAGACUUUGUUACAACUAAUUUUUUGUUUACUGAUUCUAUAGAGUUGUGAUUGGGAUCAAUAAAGUAUAUGAGAUAAUUCCUUCGAAGUCUAGUGUCUUCAUUUGAUGUCUUUUGUGUUGGAAAAUCUUGGGCCUUACAUAACAUAUUAUUAUUAUUAUUAGCAAAAAAUUAUUCAUGACCAAGUCUGAUAAUAUAUUGAAUUAUCACAUUGGAUCCCUGGGGUCAAAGAUGAGGCAAUAGCUGUCAGGUAUUGAGAUCGAUUUUCUUGUAUGUUGUGUCAACUGACCUCUUAGGUAUUCCAGUGGAAGAAUGUAAAAAUAAAAUAAAAACGUUUCAGCAGUGACAGUAUCAAUUGGUAUAUUGUCUGUCUUGACAAUUUUUAAGACAUUGUCUUUAAAAUCUUAGAUCGGUAGCUCAUUAUUGAAACAUCAGUCUUGUUUUAUUUUAGAACUUAUAAUUGCUUUGACACUCAUAAAGUGGUUGUCAGAUGUAAGGUGAUUAUUAUUAUUAUGCGUGGAUUGUUUAGCAAUUAUUCAGUCUCCUCUUGAGGCUGAUUUUCGUCAUGAUUAGUUUGUGCUUCUGGGAAGAAAUGAGUUGGGAAUGUAUUUUUGUGCUUUUCUGGAGGGCUUUCCUUUUACUCCCGGUCUUCUAAAAGGAUGCAUAUCACUUCAGAACAGUCAGCACCCUCCCUCUCUUUGUGGCCUUAUGUUUGUCUUAAUCUCCCCCCUCCCUGUCUUUUGUUUUGUUUUGUUUUUUCUCUGUAAAAGGAGAGGAAAGAGACUCUCCAGUCAGUCCUGUCCUCCCCUCCCCUGCCCUGGAUGGUGGGCUGAGAAAUGAGGAAGAACCUUAAAUUCUGCCCUUUGUUAGGCUCUCUGAUGACUAAAACUGUUGGAACAUUGCUAAAAUGAGUUUUGGAAACGUUCUCUGCUCUCCCUGUUUGCCAUUUCCACAGAUGAGUGAGGAUUGGCUUUACUGCCAAACAAGGCUGAUAUUGAGCCUCAAAUUUUGACCCAUUUUUCACCAAGUUUGUCUUAAUAUAGAAAUUGCAAGAUUUAGUAGUAAAGUGAUUAUUGUUCUUACAGCAAACAUCAACUCUAUGCAUGCUGAAUUCCAUCUCUUGGGUUGAAGACAAAGCAGUUUGUGCAUGAGGCCCACAUCCCUUUGGGACCAACGAGAAAGCUCGGGGCUAUCUGUUUUGACCUGAAACAGUUAUCCAGCAAAUGCAAUUACUUUCUUCAGAGUGUGGGGCAUUUCAAAACUAAACAGUUUAGUAAUAAUGGAAUAAUUUAAAAAAAACAAAAACUGCAAAUCUAUUUUUGAAAUGAAUAAAACAAAUGUUGGGAAACUGACAGUUUUCAUGUAAAGCCGAUGAGUGGUAAUUUUAGGUGGAUUGGUGGAGGAAAAUGAGGGUGAGAAACUCUUUCACAAGUUUCUUGGUCUGAAGUUUAUGUCAGUACUGCUGUCUUUUCACAAGUGAUUAAAUAGUUGAAUGCAACUCUGUGAUCAGCAAUUUAACAAUGAUGAAUUCAGAGGAAGUAUGAAGGGAACUUAGACUAUCAAAGAUUUGUGGGAAUUAAAAUACAUGUGUAUGUAUAUAUUAUGAAGUACCUUUUGGUUUUGUUUUAUGUUUCACAAAUUCAGAUAGAAGUUUUAUUUUUAAUGAAAACCUGAAUGCUAUUGCCAGGCUAUAUUAGUGAAAAUGAUCAGAUCAUCUUCAAAACAUUGAAAUAACUUUUACAUUUCUGAUGCUUGGUUCUCUUCAUUAAAAUAAAUCGCUUCUCCAGUCAGCCACAAUACUGGAAUGGCAACAUCAGAAUAUAUAGUAGAGAUGCAAAAUUACUUCUAAUUAAUGAUGACAUUUUAUUUUACUAACAUAAGCUUUAGUGUUUUAAUCUAGGAGAGGAAAGAAGGUUAAAUAUUACGAGAGAAAUUCCCUGGAGCAGUUUACAAACAUUUAGGGGAAAAUGUGGAAAACAAAAAUGAAGCAUAGGGACUGGUAACAGCGUUCAAUGUUUCUCUUGUUCGCAUGACAAGGGAGCAUUCAGAAUACACCUCUGUGAUUUGUCGCAUCUGGUAGAAGUGCUGCAGUAGUAGCUAACGGGACAAUCUCUGGCUUUAGUGAAGAAAUGAGUAGACAAGACAGUGUAAAGAGAAAACCUUGGUUGGCAAUCAGAGCCACAUUCCCCAGCCCCUACAGCAACUUCUAGCUUUGUAUGACACCAGAAACAUAGAGGUCAAAAGUCUGAGAGAACUUUUGUUAUGAAGGAUGCGUGUUUUGUAAUUUUAAAAUUUCGGAUGACAUAUCCCAGUGCUUUGGGUACACGGGUUUCAGCUAUCAUGCCGUCUUAAUAAUCUAAUAGCAGCAAUGCACUAGCACCUAAUGGGAUGGAUUUUAAAAUGCAAUCUAUACACAGAUUUCACUGCCCACUUAAACAAAAGUGGAUGUAUUUUUUUUCCUUAGAUAGCGUUUCCCACUAUUCUUGUUUAGGGGCUUUCUCAUCCUUCCUUUCCUCACUCUCAUAUGAGGGUGUUUUCAAAUUUUGUAUAUAUGCCCAGGGAUCUUUUGGCAUUUAAACAAGUUUCUUACCAUUUAAAAAAGAAAAAAAUCUGUUUCUGAGUUAUAGAAGUUAUUUCGCUCCUCUGCUGUAUAGUAUAUAAACUACUUUAGCUGCAGGACAAUCAAAUGUAGCUGCUUUUGGAGACAGCAGAACUGAAGCAGGAGUCAGUCUCCACACUUUCCCAUGACUCACUGAGGUACUUAAGGCCUUAACACUCGUGCAGAGUUUAACCCUCUCUCUCCAGAGAGUGACAGUGUUUCCAUGUAAUCUAUACUUCCGCUUUCAAAUGUUGAGAGCAGACAAAACCACCGACAUCGUAAGCUGCUUUUGAUUUGAAAGAAAUCCUUAAGUAAUAGGGAAUUCUGGCUCAUGUAUCUCAUUUUGGCUCAUGUGUGUGUUUCUCAGAAGGAAUGUCCAUAAGGAAAAUGGCAGCAUUGGCUGGUCUAGUAAUAGGGCAGUAUUUCGCUUCUGUGCUAAUAAAAUUUUCUGGCUUCGCUUUUCAUAGUUCUAAAGACGUGUUCUUUGUGCCUACAGCAUGUAAAAUGAAGAAGAGUUAGGAAAAUAUUAUCUCUGUAUUUUAAGAUGAAAGAAAAACUGAUGAAAAUAUAUCAAAAAAUUUACUUUUUUUUCCUUCUAAAAUUAGAAAAUAAUAAUAUUUCAUUUGAGGCCAGGAUCAAAUAUCAUUUUAGAAGGGAUGAAAAUCUAAACUGAAGUAGAGAGAAAAUCUGUUGAAAGACCAUUUGGGUAAGAUGAAUAUAUUCAAAUCUAGAAGUCCAGUUACUUGCAUUCCAGGGGUAAUAAAGAAAUUGGCUAGUUUUAUUGAAACAUAUUGGUUAUGCAUUUUGAGGCCCCAAGAGUAUUACAGAAGUGUGUAAUAUUGGAGAAGAGCCCAUGGUCAAUCAGUAUUUUUAAAAGAGAAGAUUAUGAGAUGGAGACCACAGACCUGUAGUUUAACUUCUUUCCUGGAAAAAAAAAAUUUUUUUUUUUUUUUUUUAAAU